CUUCAUUACCCGAUCUUCUCCAUACACCCACUAACAGCGCGUCCUGUCUCAGUUAUACCAUCUCUUUCUUGCUCUGAUGAUCUCAAAUGCUGGGGCAAAACUUGUGUGUCAUCUCUCCGAAUCUCCUUGAUACCCUUCUUGGGAGCUGGACAACCUGUGCUCUUGCUAGCCUGAAGCUAUCAUCUUCUGAACAGGUAGUGUUGAACUGAGCACAUAAUACUGUGUGUGUAACUUUUUAAGGGGUGGUGGUAAUUUGUGUCCCUUAUGAACCUUGCCAUAAUUUCAAUUUCUACCUAGAAUCUGGGUAAGAUUUGGAUGUUUGCAAGAUGAAAAGGUUCUCUCUGUGAAAGUCAGCUUGGGUGUUAUUCAGAACUUCACCUGUUGCAUUACAGUUUAGUGUUUGUUUAAAUCAGGAUAAAAUAUUCCUGCCUUCCAACUGAUGUAGCUGUGAUGCAACUUUAAAAAAUAUAAUGCAAGAAAUAGAACCUGUGUACCAUCUGUCACUUGUAGUGGACCAGGGUUUGGAUAAAAAGAUAUAUAGUUUUCAAGACUGGAAUCUGUCCCAGUAACAUGUGCUGUUGUUGCACCCUGGGAGUUUUUAUCGUAAGUGGAAAUAAAUAGUGAUAAUGCAGGGAAAUGUGGUGUGAAGAUUUUGGCUUAAACAAGAAAAAGCAAAGUAUUUUUUCCCAUGUGUAGAGAUCAAUUCAUUAAAACACAGUGGUAGAGGCCAGUUCUAUAACAAAUAUGUACUAAUUGGGCUGCAAUACAGAACUCUGAAAAGUUCUCUCAGUAUAUGUUCUGCAGAUAAAACUUCCUGAUCUGCUGGGGAGAAACUUCUGCUCUGACAAAUUGCAAACAUUAUUUAACGUAUCAGUGAAAUGCCUAGGAAAACGCUAUUCCAAGCGCAUUGGUCAUAUUUCAGUACAAAUCGUAAGGUACCGUAGUGAAAAGUUGUUCUGCCCUUGAGGCAUGAAUUCCUUUGAAACCUCCCAGGUUUAUGACUCUGUCCUUCAGCAAAAUGGCUCUCAGCACCAUGAGCCCUGAGAAUGCUGUUUACGUGUUUGCAUCAUUUUUAGCUAAGCAUUUAUAGCACUAAGAAUUUAAAGUGCUUUUAAGUCUUUUUCUCCUCUGGAAACAGCAAAAACAGAACAAGAGAACUGUGACCUGACUGAAUCUUUUAAGGACUCUGUGAAUACAGAAAAGGCUGGUUCCUAUCCAAGGGAAUUCUCUUUUACUGAAAAUAUAUAGUAAGGUAGGAAGCUCAGUGCCUGAAAUGAACUCUUAAAUUCCUGUUUUAUGAUCUCUUAAGCAGUGAUGCCCUCCUGUGGAUCUCGGUAGUAUGCUUUCUACUGGAAUAAAUGGAAUGCUUUAUGCCUGAAAACGAUAUAUAUAUUUUUCUUCCUUCUAAUAUUUGAAUACUAACUAAAAUAUCCCAUGAGGACAUUUAACACACUGCUUUAUUUGACGAGUGAUUCUUGUUUGAGAAAUGCAUUUUCUUUAGGUGGUGCUGCAGGUGGAGCAUUAGCCUACGUUAGAAAUGAACUACAUACACAAUGUGUUUUUAUUCUGUAGGUUGCUAUCAGCAUUGAAGCGAUUUAAUGCUGCAACUGCCUGUGAGGAGAAGAAGAGCAUGUAUUUGUUUUUAGCAGUGUUUGCCUAAGAACUUCUAAAUACAUAAUAUGAUAUUACGUAUUUAAAUAUGUAGUUAAAAACA
This is a long non-coding RNA of Oxyura jamaicensis (ruddy duck), 1714 nucleotides long. RefSeq lists it as uncharacterized. The record is from RefSeq and is a predicted model, not a curated record. The transcript has 4 exons. Lineage: Eukaryota; Metazoa; Chordata; Aves; Anseriformes; Anatidae.